This 182-nucleotide small RNA is filed under the name uncultured Prevotella sp. RNAcentral describes it as "Bacteroidales-1 6S-Bacteroidales RNA suggested". It matches the Rfam family "Bacteroidales-1 6S-Bacteroidales RNA suggested". Lineage: Bacteria; Pseudomonadati; Bacteroidota; Bacteroidia; Bacteroidales; Prevotellaceae. The record is from RNAcentral.
GCCGUAUCGGUUCGAUAGGGAUACUCAUCAAAUUACUAUGAAAACAGGGCGUAUUUCCUGUACAAUGGCGGGCCACAACUCCUAAGGAGCAGUUUGGCAACAGACCGGUGGAUUACAAAGGCAGGAGAACCCCAUAUCUUCUAAAAAAGGAGUUUUCAUCACAUCACCGGUGCGGCCUCUUU